Molecule: ribosomal RNA, 577 nt
Filed under: Russula sp.
Lineage: Eukaryota; Fungi; Basidiomycota; Agaricomycetes; Russulales; Russulaceae
Description: SSU rRNA
Rfam family: Bacterial small subunit ribosomal RNA
Source: RNAcentral
CGGAUCAGCAGUCAAGAAUAUUAGUCAAUGCUCGAAAGAGUGAACUAGCUAACUGAAAUCAAUUAAAAUAAUUGAUAACAUAAGGGAAAAUAAUGAUAUUACCUUAUUAUUAGUGUCGUCCAAAACUGGUGCCAGAAGACUCGGUAAGGCCAGAGACACAAACGUUAAUCGUCUUAAUCAGGCGUAAAGGGUUUGUAGGCGGCUUUUAAAUUUAGGUAAAAAAUAUUUUAAGUAAAGAAUAAAAGCUAGAAUCAAAUAGAGGAUAUAUGAAAGAAUGCUUAGAGUAGGUCCGAUAUCCUUAGAUACUAAGUAGAAUAUUAAAGGCGAAAGCUUUUUUCCAUUAAUGAUUGACGCUCAGAAACGAAGGUGAGGAUAGGAAAUAGGAUUAGAUACCCAGAAUACCCCUCUCUGUAAACGAUGAAUGGUAGUUAUUAGUAAAAAUUAUUAAUGGCAAUGUUAACACGAUAACCAUUCCGCCUUGUGAGUACAACUGCAAAGUUGAAAACAAAAAAAUUAGUCGGUUUCGGAGCAAACGAAGUGAAGCAUGUUAUUUAAUUCGAUAAUCCGCAAAGAGGGG